Molecule: ribosomal RNA, 93 nt
Filed under: Bacteroidota bacterium
Lineage: Bacteria; Pseudomonadati; Bacteroidota
Source: RNAcentral
UGGGGAACCACCUCUUACCAUUCCGAACAGAGAAGUUAAGCCCAUUUGCGCCGAUGGUACUGCGUAUUGUGGGAGAGUAGGUCGUCGCCUAUC